Molecule: microRNA precursor, 84 nt
Filed under: Cercocebus atys (sooty mangabey)
Lineage: Eukaryota; Metazoa; Chordata; Mammalia; Primates; Cercopithecidae
Description: miRNA (ENSCATG00000018225.1)
Source: RNAcentral
GGAGAAUUGCUUGAACCUGGGAGGUGGAGGUUGCAGUGAGCUGAGAUCACGCCACUGCACUCCAUCCAGCCUGGGCAAUAGAGU